AUGGUAAGGUGGUCGCCGCCGCCACGGCGGGACGUCGAGCUUUUCCCCUUCCCCUCUUUGGGCGCCCACGACCCCGUCUCACUGUCCCUAUUCGUGGCGUGCGUCGUGGCCACCGUGGCGAUCGCCUCGACCAUGUGCUCGGCGUGCGGCCGCAAGCCCAAGGCGGUCAGCCAGGAGCCCGCCGCGGACGCCCAGGCCUCCGACGCCUCCGGGAGCCAGGGCGGCGCGGAAGGGGAGGAGGAGGUGGUGACGCUGCCGCCGGAGCUGGCCACGCACGGGCCGAUCGAGCCGCCGCCGCUGCCCAAAACGGCGUCGCGGCGGAGGCUGUCCGUCUCCAUGUCCAUGGGCGUGGGCAAAAGCAUGUCCAUGAACGUGGGCAAGAGCCUCGCCAACAUCCCGGACAAGAUGAAGCUGAGCAAGCUGGAGCCGCGCCACAAGGAAAAGGACGACCCCGAGGACACGCUGUGGAAGAAGUCCAUCAUCCUGGGCGGGAAGUGCAAGAUCCCCGGGGAGAGGGACGCCGAGGCCUCCGACCCCGAUGCGGCCGCCGACGCCGCGGACGAGAUGACCGCCGGCGCCUUCCGCCGGUCCAGCUACUCCCGGCCCGUGUCCCGGUCCAACUCCUUCUCCGUCCACCAGCCCCUGCCCGAGCCUCCCCCAAUGCAAUCCUACACUAAAUCAUGA
Molecule: ribosomal RNA, 684 nt
Filed under: Triticum aestivum (bread wheat)
Lineage: Eukaryota; Viridiplantae; Streptophyta; Magnoliopsida; Poales; Poaceae
Description: partial small subunit ribosomal RNA
Source: RNAcentral